GCGUGCGGCGGCCUAACCUGCAGUCGAGCGGCAGCACGGGUACUUGUACCUGGUGGCGAGCGGCGGACGGGUGAGUAAUGCCUAGGAAUCUGCCUGGUAGUGGGGGAUAACGCUCGGAAACGGACGCUAAUACCGCAUACGUCCUACGGGAGAAAGCAGGGGACCUUCGGGCCUUGCGCUAUCAGAUGAGCCUAGGUCGGAUUAGCUAGUUGGUGAGGUAAUGGCUCACCAAGGCGACGAUCCGUAACUGGUCUGAGAGGAUGAUCAGUCACACUGAAACUGAGACACGGUCCAGACUCCUACGGGAGGCAGCAGUGGGGAAUAUUGGACAAUGGGCGAAAGCCUGAUCCAGCCAUGCCGCGUGUGUGAAGAAGGUCUUCGGAUUGUAAAGCACUUUAAGUUGGGAGGAAGGGCAGUUACCUAAUACGUAAUUGUUUUGACGUUACCGACAGAAUAAGCACCGGCUAACUCUGUGCCAGCAGCCGCGGUAAUACAGAGGGUGCAAGCGUUAAUCGGAAUUACUGGGCGUAAAAGCGCGCGUAGGUGGUUCGUUAAGUUGGAUGUGAAAUCCCCGGGCUCAACCUGGGAACUGCAUUCAAAACUGUCGAGCUAGAGUAUGGUAGAGGGUGGUGGAAUUUCCUGUGUAGCGGAAAAAUGCCGUAAAAAUA
This 668-nucleotide ribosomal RNA is filed under the name Pseudomonas sp. EK-I55. RNAcentral's name for it is "bacterial SSU rRNA". It matches the Rfam family "Bacterial small subunit ribosomal RNA", at positions 35 to 698 of the family's 1533-position model. Lineage: Bacteria; Pseudomonadati; Pseudomonadota; Gammaproteobacteria; Pseudomonadales; Pseudomonadaceae. The record is from RNAcentral.